RNAcentral lists this ribosomal RNA (428 nucleotides) under uncultured bacterium. Its description in RNAcentral is "partial 16S ribosomal RNA". It matches the Rfam family "Bacterial small subunit ribosomal RNA", at positions 354 to 796 of the family's 1533-position model. The record is from RNAcentral.
GUGGGGAAUAUUGGGCAAUGGGCGAAAGCCUGACCCAGCAACGCCGCGUGAGGGAAGAAGGCUUUCGGGUUGUAAACCUCUGUCGCAGGGGACGAAAGAAAUGACGGUACCCUGUGAGGAAGCCCCGGCUAACUACGUGCCAGCAGCCGCGGUAAUACGUAGGGGGCGAGCGUUGUCCGGAAUUACUGGGCGUAAAGGGUGCGUAGGCGGCGAAUUAAGUUGGAUGUGAAAUCCCCGGGCUUAACCUGGGUGGUGCAUCCAAAACUGAUUAGCUAGAGUGCAGGAGAGGGAAGCGGAAUUCCUAGUGUAGCGGUGAAAUGCGUAGAUAUUAGGAGGAACACCAGUGGCGAAGGCGGCUUUCUGGACUGUAACUGACGCUGAGGCACGAAAGCGUGGGGAGCAAACAGGAUUAGAUACCCUGGUAGUCC